UCGGUCCAUGUCCUCAUGGUCUCUAAUGCACCUGUGAGUAAAGUUACAGGAGAGUUUUUUCCUUGUGUUUAACCUGCUUUCAUUCUUCGCAAGUCUACUUAUUAUUAAUUUUAUAUCUUGUACUGUCAAAUAUAACUUUUAGUCCUUCACAUGUGUAAAAACAUACUACUUAGUUUGGGACUGUAAUAUUUGUUAAUAUUUGGGAUUGUAACUUAUUAAACUUUAUAUAUGUGUA
RNAcentral lists this unclassified non-coding RNA (235 nucleotides) under Hevea brasiliensis (rubber tree). The record is from RNAcentral. Lineage: Eukaryota; Viridiplantae; Streptophyta; Magnoliopsida; Malpighiales; Euphorbiaceae.